CGAAAGCCUGACGGAGCAACGCCGCGUGAGGGACGAAGGCCUUUGGGCUGUAAACCUCUUUUCUCAAGGAAGAAGAUCUGACGGUACUUGAGGAAUAAGCCACGGCUAAUUCCGUGCCAGCAGCCGCGGUAAUACGGGAGUGGCAAGCGUUAUCCGGAAUUAUUGGGCGUAAAGCGUCCGCAGGCGGCCGUUUAAGUCUGUUGUUAAAUCGUGGAGCUCAACUCCAUCACGGCAAUGGAAACUGUUCGGCUUGAGUAUGGUAGGGGCAGAGGGAAUUUCCGGUGUAGCGGUGAAAUGCGUAGAUAUCGAGAAGAACACCAGUGGCGAAAGCGCUCUGCUGGGCCAUUACUGACGCUCAUGGACGAAAGCCAGGGGAGCGAAAGGGAUUAGAUACCCCUGUAGUCCUGGCCGUAAACGAUGAACACUAGAUGUUGGGGGAAUCGACCCCCUCGGUGUCGUAGCUAACGCGUUAAGUGUUCCGCCUGGGGAGUACGCACGCAAGUGUGAAACUCAAAGGAAUUGACGGGGGCCCGCACAAGCGGUGGAGUAUGUGGUUUAAUUCGAUGCAACGCGAAGAACCUUACCAAGGCUUGACAUCCUGCGAAUCUCCAAGAAAUUGGAGAGUGCCUUCGGGAACGCAGUGACAGGUGGUGCAUGGCUGUCGUCAGCUCGUGUCGUGAGAUGUUGGGUUAAGUCCCGCAACGAGCGCAACCCACGUUUUUAGUUGCCAGCAUUCAGUUGGGCACUCCAGAGAGACUGCCGGUGACAAACCGGAGGAAGGUGUGGACGACGUCAAGUCAUCAUGCCCCUUACGCCUUGGGCUACACACGUACUACAAUGCUGCAGACAAAGAGUAGCGAUCUUGCAAAAGUUAGCUAAUCUCGUAAACUGUGGCUCAGUUCAGAUCGUAGGCUGCAACUCGCCUACGUGAAGGAGGAAUCGCUAGUAAUCGCAGGUCAGCAUACUGCGGUGAAUACGUUCCCGGGCCUUGUACACACCGCCCGUCACACCAUGGAAGUUGGCCAUGCCCGAAGUCGUUACUCUAACCCUCUUCGGAGGGAAGAGGGCGCCGAAGGCAGGGCUGAUGACUGGGGUGAAGUCGUAACAAGGUAGCCGUAGCGGAAGCUGCGGCUGGAUCACCUCCUAA
Molecule: ribosomal RNA, 1147 nt
Filed under: Candidatus Synechococcus spongiarum
Lineage: Bacteria; Bacillati; Cyanobacteriota; Cyanophyceae; Synechococcales; Synechococcaceae
Description: bacterial SSU rRNA
Rfam family: Bacterial small subunit ribosomal RNA
Source: RNAcentral